CAUCCUUGACCAUGCUCGUCGCCCUGAGAUUCGAAACGGACCUGAGCCACGGGACUUGACUCGUUUAGUGUAGUGUAGUGUGUGCCGACCAGUUUCUUUUGAAGACCGAUUGACUUUGACCGUCGGACCUUUGCUUCUCAUCAUAUGAGAGAGAGAGAGAGAGAGAGAGAGAGAGAGAGAGAGAGAGAGAGAGAGAGAGAGACUAAUGGGCAGCACCUCCAGUAAGUACUUAUAAAACAAGCGCCAUUACCGUUCUUGCAUAUACCAUAUGCGCUGCUUUUGAACCCUUGCUUCACACAGCUGUACGUUGCUCUACUAAUCCAAGGAUUAUCAUCGACCGGAGAGAAGAGACGAGACGACCAUGGCGCGCCGCUCCUCCAACUCUUGGUCUUCCUCUCCGGCGCUCCUAGUCGUCGUCCUGGCUGCCUUGCUCAUCUGCUGCCCCAUGCCAUGCUCCGCGGGCAUCCGAAGUGGUGUGUACUACGGUUCUUACGGCGGGCCUCCGGCGCCGCAGGGCGGCCGGCCGGUCCACGCGGGGUGCCCUUGGUGCGGCCCCGCCGCUCCUCAGCCGCCAACGCCGGUGGUGGCAACCGCGCAAGACCGAGCCGCGGCCGCAGAUCAGCAGGGGCGCGGACGGCGUCUGUUAUCUGUCGAGUGAAAAGACCCAUUGGAUGAGCCGACGCUACCUGCCUUGGCGCUGAGGAGCUGAAGAAAUAAGCUCGCCGUCAACUGUUAUCUCGCAUUGACGCUAUAUAUGUGUGUAAUAUGUUUGCCGUUUUGGGCAUUAUGUUAGUAUUUCCUUACGCAAUAAAGGUGCAUGUGACGCUCAGCAAGAAGACAAUCCAUGACUCCAUGCCUUGCUAUAUUUAGAGGUUUUUACAACAUAUGUGUGAUGUUAUAUCUUAUAUGUGACAUAAUAAAUACAGAUGUACUAUAAA
Aegilops tauschii subsp. strangulata is the source of this 938-nucleotide long non-coding RNA. RefSeq lists it as uncharacterized. NCBI's taxonomy places the organism in Eukaryota, Viridiplantae, Streptophyta, Magnoliopsida, Poales, Poaceae. The record is from RefSeq and is a predicted model, not a curated record.